AAUGAACGCUGGCGGCAGGCCUAACACAUGCAAGUCGAGCGUGCGGCGGACGGGUGCGUACUGGCUGGGAAACUGCCUGAUGGAGGGGGAUAACUACUGGAAACGGUAGCUAAUACCGCAUACCAUCAGAUGUGCCCAGAUGGGAUUGGCUAGUGGGUGGGGUAACGGCUCACCUAGGCGACGAUCCCUAGCUGGUCUGAGAGGAUGACCAGCCACACUGGAACUGAGACACGGUCCAGACUCCUACGGCAGGCAGAAGUGGGGAAUAUUGCACAAUGGGCGCAAGCCUGAUGGAGCAAUGCCGCGUGUGUGAAGAAGGCCUUCGGGUUGUAAAGCACUUUCAGCGGGGAGGCGUUACCCGAAGAAGAAGCACCGGCUAACUCCGUGCCAGCAGCCGCGGUAAUUC
RNAcentral lists this ribosomal RNA (406 nucleotides) under uncultured bacterium. RNAcentral's name for it is "partial 16S ribosomal RNA". It matches the Rfam family "Bacterial small subunit ribosomal RNA", at positions 29 to 526 of the family's 1533-position model. The record is from RNAcentral.